CCUACGGGAGGCAGCAGUAGGGAAUCUUCCGCAAUGGACGAAAGUCUGACGGAGCAACGCCGCGUGAGUGAUGAAGGCUUUCGGGUCGUAAAACUCUGUUGUUAGGGAAGAACAAGUGCUAGUUGAAUAAGCUGGCACCUUGACGGUACCUAACCAGAAAGCCACGGCUAACUACGUGCCAGCAGCCGCGGUAAUACGUAGGUGGCAAGCGUUAUCCGGAAUUAUUGGGCGUAAAGCGCACGUAGGCGGAUUGGAAAGUUGGGGGUGAAAUCCCGGGGCUCAACCCCGGAACUGCCUCCAAAACUCCCAGUCUUGAGUUCGAGAGAGGUGAGUGGAAUUCCGAGUGUAGAGGUGAAAUUCGUAGAUAUUCGGAGGAACACCAGUGGCGAAGGCGGCUCACUGGCUCGAUACUGACGCUGAGGUGCGAAAGUGUGGGGAGCAAACAGGAUUAGAUACCCUGGUAGUCCACACCGUAAACGAUGAAUGCCAGUCGUCGGCAAGCAUGCUUGUCGGUGACACACCUAACGGAUUAAGCAUUCCGCCUGGGGAGUACGGUCGCAAGAUUAAAACUCAAAGGAAUU
Molecule: ribosomal RNA, 581 nt
Filed under: uncultured bacterium
Lineage: Bacteria
Description: bacterial SSU rRNA
Rfam family: Bacterial small subunit ribosomal RNA
Source: RNAcentral